RNAcentral lists this ribosomal RNA (129 nucleotides) under Komagataella pastoris. Its description in RNAcentral is "partial 26S rRNA". It matches the Rfam family "Eukaryotic large subunit ribosomal RNA", at positions 304 to 432 of the family's 3401-position model. Lineage: Eukaryota; Fungi; Ascomycota; Pichiomycetes; Pichiales; Pichiaceae. The record is from RNAcentral.
GUCCAUCAAAGACUNAAUAUCAGCGAGAGACCGAUAGCAAACAAGUACAGUGAUGGAAAGAUGAAAAGAACUUUGAAAAGAGAGUGAAACANUGCGUNAAAUUGGGGNNAGGGNAGGCAAGGCCACGAC